RNAcentral lists this long non-coding RNA (274 nucleotides) under Nicotiana benthamiana. RNAcentral describes it as "long non-coding RNA (NBEN_LNC035535)". Lineage: Eukaryota; Viridiplantae; Streptophyta; Magnoliopsida; Solanales; Solanaceae. The record is from RNAcentral.
CAUCAUUUGAUUUGGGUGUUUUAACACCUAAAUCUCCAGUAAAAAGACAACAAUCUGUCCAUGCAAGUGGAAAAGAAAGUGUUCCUGCAUCGCCGAGAGAAAUACGAGUUGAAACUCGAACAAAGCACUUGCAGGAGGUAGAUGCAACCGGUGUUGAAAUUGAAGCCGACAAAUAACGCAAGCGAAAGGGGAAAAGCUUGAUGGCGGAUGAUGAUGAUUUUGUGGACGAUUCACCCAAAGUUCAAAAAACAAAAAUACAGAAGGUGUCUCAUUC